This 1384-nucleotide long non-coding RNA is filed under the name Citrus sinensis (sweet orange). RNAcentral's name for it is "long non-coding RNA (CSIN_LNC003330)". Lineage: Eukaryota; Viridiplantae; Streptophyta; Magnoliopsida; Sapindales; Rutaceae. The record is from RNAcentral.
GAUUGUUCAAUUUCGCGUGUUGAAAUUGGAACUCCGAUGUAGUCCAAUUUGUAGCCUAUGUUUUAAUUGAUUCCGAUAUAAGCUGUCAAAUCCAGGAUUAUGAUAUGGUGAUUAAAACAACAACAACAAUAAUAAUAAUUACAAUAGUUCUCCCUGUUGCCUUGCAUAAAAAUAAUGCAAUUCGAAUCUGAUAAGAUCUAAACUCAACCCUAAUUUUUUUAUUCGAUUCAAUAUAAAUUAUAAGUUUAAAUGGUGUUUGAAUGAUUUUUUCCCAACUCAAUUAAUUUAAAAUUUGAUUGAAUUAAUCCAAACCCAAAUUUCUCACCCAAAUGGAUGACAUAAAAUUAACAACCUACAUCGCACUAAAUACAACUCCAAAGGCGCAUAAUAAAAAAAAUAAUGCUUAAAAAAUAACUCAUGUGAUCGCUUAAAAGAUUAGAUGACUUUUGCGAAGUUCUUCAGAAAAAAAAAAAAAUGCACCCUGCGAUUAGAUGACUUUUGCGAAGUUCUUCAGAGCUUAAAAGAUUAGAUGACUUUUGCGAAGUUCUUCAGAAAAAAAAAAAAAUGCACCCUGCGCCACGUGCUUUAAUAAAAACCGCGUGACAAGUACCAAACUUAAACUCAGGAAAUAAACAACAUCAGUUUAAAAUGAAGAGAGCAAAUUGAACUCAAAGAAUACAAAAAUAAGAAUAAAGUACAAAAUUGAAUUCUAAAGAAUAUGAAAAUAAGAAUAAAAUGUAGUAAGAUUUAACCUCGCACUUUAAAAUAAUAAUAAUCUCAUGCCAAACUUUGAGUUUUUGUCUAUAAAUAGAGGCCCAAAUAAGAGAGAAAUGGCAGGUGCUAUUUAGUUAAGACCAUAAAUUGUUUGUGUUGGAAAUAAGAGAUUUUGAAAUUCAACUCCUACUUAUAUAAGUGAAGACGAGAUUAGGUUGCCGUCAGAUUAAAUAAUAAAAAAAAAAAGAGAGAGCGAAAGAGAGAGAAAUAAAUCUUUAUCCAAAUACUUAGACUAAUUUUGAUCAACUUCUUGUCAAAAUACCAAAACAAGCCUCCUGAAUCCUCUGUUUCUUCUAGUAAAAAAUCUCACAAAUUGAACUAUCUUUUACGAAUACCAUGCCUAAAGCUCAACCAAUGAAGUUCCUUAACCAAAUCAAGGAAAAAGAAGAAUUUAAUCCAACUCAUUGAUAGAUAAUAUAUAUUUUUCCUUGGUAAUCUUAAAAUUAAAAGUAUAUUAAUCACUUCUGAACUCUUCACUCAGACCUUAAAAAAAAUUCUUACCGAUACCUUCGGCCAUGGAAAUUCUCUGAGUCCUUGACCAAUAUUCUGCAUUUGAAAUUAAUUUUUCUCCGGACCCUCUUAGCAAUAACUUGUAAAGAGUGCAAUAAUU